UGUUCCUACGGGAGGCAGCAGUGGGGAAUAUUGGACAAUGGGGGAAACCCUUAUCCAGCGACGCCGCGUGAGGGAAGAAGGUUUUCGGAUUGUAAACCUCUGUCAGUGGGGACGAUAAUGACGGUACCCACGGAGGAAGCCACGGCUAACUACGUGCCAGCAGCCGCGGUAAUACGUAGGUGGCAAGCGUUGUCCGGAAUCACUGGGUGUAAAGGGAGCGUAGGCGGGAUGUCAAGCCAGAAGUGAACAUUAUGGGC
RNAcentral lists this ribosomal RNA (257 nucleotides) under uncultured bacterium. Its description in RNAcentral is "partial 16S ribosomal RNA". It matches the Rfam family "Bacterial small subunit ribosomal RNA", at positions 334 to 608 of the family's 1533-position model. The record is from RNAcentral.